GAUGAACGCUGGCGGCGUGCCUAAUACAUGCAAGUCGAGCGAACGGACGAGAAUCUUGCUUCUCUGAUGUUAGCGGCGGACGGGUGAGUAACACGUGGAUAACCUACCUAUAAGACUGGGAUAACUUCGGGAAACCGUAGCUAAUACCGGAUAAUAUUUUGAACCGCAUGGUUCAAAAGUGAAAGACGGUCUUGCUGUCACUUAUAGAUGGAUCCGCGCUGCAUUAGCUAGUUGGUAAGGUAACGGCUUACCAAGGCAACGAUGCAUAGCCGACCUGAGAGGGUGAUCGGCCACACUGGAACUGAGACACGGUCCAGACUCCUACGGGAGGCAGCAGUAGGGAAUCUUCCGCAAUGGGCGAAAGCCUGAUGCAGCAACGCCGCGUGCGGGAUGACGGCCUUCGGGUUGUAAACCGCUUUCGCCUGUGACGAAGCGUGAGUGACGGUAAUGGGUAAAGAAGCACCGGCUAACUACGUG
RNAcentral lists this ribosomal RNA (477 nucleotides) under uncultured bacterium. RNAcentral describes it as "partial 16S ribosomal RNA". It matches the Rfam family "Bacterial small subunit ribosomal RNA", at positions 28 to 507 of the family's 1533-position model. The record is from RNAcentral.